This is a long non-coding RNA of Ictalurus punctatus (channel catfish), 620 nucleotides long. The record is from Ensembl. NCBI's taxonomy places the organism in Eukaryota, Metazoa, Chordata, Actinopteri, Siluriformes, Ictaluridae.
AAAUUAUCAAGUGCACGAGGCAGGAAGCGGCGUAAAGGAGAGGAGCAGAAAAAAAAGAGUAAUAUAGAGGUGAUGCUGACAUUGUGUCUAUUCCGGACAUCGUUGAUGAAAUUAAGUUUCUGAACAAGGCAAGCGGAUCGAACUCGGGCGAAGCGGCUCCGCGAGUCAGGUCGGAUAACUCCGUGUUCAAUGAGGACUCGCUCGAGCUUCACAUGGUGCGGCUAGAACUGGAGGAUUUGGAGAAGCAGAUCCGUGGCCUACUCAACAAGCAGGCCCAGCUGCUGGAGCGACAAACUGAGCUGGAAACAUCUUGUGCCUCUGCCCACAUAUCCAAGGGACCGUGCACCUAGGACUUUCCCAGCCGUGGUCUCCGUCACGCCGCCGCCAACACUCCUCAGGCCUUGGGUGAACCAGUGGCGGAAGGCGCGGGCUGGACCACAGGUGAGGAGCUCUCCACCUCCGGUGUUCGAGAUUCCAACCGGGAACCGCUUCGCCCCUCUCCGUCAGACCAGACCUAACGCUGUGAUCGUCGGGGACUCCAUUGUGCGGAACGUCCGUGUAGCCUCAUCUAAAGGUGAUGACUUUUGAUGAAAAGUGAGUUUCUAGACAUAAAAUGUCAC